This is a long non-coding RNA of Perca flavescens (yellow perch), 232 nucleotides long. RefSeq lists it as uncharacterized. The transcript is spliced from 3 exons. NCBI's taxonomy places the organism in Eukaryota, Metazoa, Chordata, Actinopteri, Perciformes, Percidae. The record is from RefSeq and is a predicted model, not a curated record.
UGUUGGAGAAAAGGACCUGUCAAUUUGGAAGGGCUGGCAAAAUCCACGGAGACGUAUUCCAAAGGAGUUAUUUGGAGUAUACAUUCUGCCAGUACCAUUGUGAGAAUAUGGCCAGUGUAGAGCACUUCACCUGCCCAGCAUGUACACCCAACAUGAUAGCUCUUUGCGCAGAUGGCAACAGAAAGCAGUACCGAUUUCGACAGUCAAAAGGGUCAGAGCAACCAUAUUUUGA